This 1796-nucleotide long non-coding RNA is filed under the name Gossypium barbadense (sea-island cotton). RNAcentral describes it as "long non-coding RNA (GBAR_LNC005780)". Lineage: Eukaryota; Viridiplantae; Streptophyta; Magnoliopsida; Malvales; Malvaceae. The record is from RNAcentral.
GGUGAUUUUUCAAAUUCAAGUCACUAUUGCUGCCUGAAUUCUGUUUCUUUGCAAAAUUUUACCAUUUUAUGACUUUCAUACCUAAUUUAUCACUUAGACUUUUAUAACAAUAAUUAACUUCAUCCUUGACCAUUUAAUCAACCAUUCAUCAUCAAAUACUUACACAUCAUUCUAUAGUAAAAUCAUAUUUACAAAUAUACAAAAUUACUAAAUUCCUAUACAUGCCAUAACUAAAAGAAAUGUUCACCACCACAAUUAGCUCAGAAUCGGCUUUGGAUGCUGAUUCAACAAUCCGACUUUGACCUAACCUGCGCACGGAAACAACCGUACGCUGAGUAUGGAAAUACUCAGUGGUAUUACCAUAAUUCGAAUUAAUAACAUUAAUCGAUAAAUUAUAUACAUUUUAUUUAUGUCUACAAUUAUUCAUUAAUUAUCUCAUGCAUUAAUUCAACUUGAUAAUUAAUAACAAUAAGCUAUAAUUCAAAUCUUGUAUUUAAUUGUAUUCAUACCUUAUUUCACUAUCUCAAUUCCAUUGGAUUUUUCUUUACAUCUCAUUCCAAUAGUUCAUUUCAAUUCAUAUACAAUUCAUUUCAUUUAAUUUAUAUUCAAUAUAAAUUUUAUUACAAUUUGUACUCACUAAUAUCAUAUAACAAAAUUUACUCUUUAUCACAUCAUGAACUUUGGGCUCAUAUCUUUAAAUCUCUUAUUUCGAUUUCCAAUUCACACAUCAAUUCACAACUUCACUUGUUUUCACACUUUAUUUCUUAACAAUAUACCAUUUUAAUUCAUUUUAACAUCAAUCAUCAUCCAUUUGAACUUCACUCAUUUCAUGAACCUUUUGGUUCAUGUUUUCAAUCUCAUAUCUCAAUUUAAUAUCUCAUUUAUUCAAUUCAUAUUUUAAUUCAUUCAAUUAAAUAUUGGUAUUCUCCUUAUUUUUAUUUACUAAACAUAUUAUUCAAAAUUCAACAAUUACUAUCAAUAAAUUCAAUAUCAAUACGUAUAUAUAUAUUUCAUUCGAUUCAAUCAUGAUACUCACCUCAAUUUUCUUAUCAUGUAUAUUAAUUUAAAUUUUAACAAUUAAUAAUUAAAUUCGAAUUAUAGUAAUACUAACCGUAAUUUCUCUCGAGUCACUCCUUGUCCACUUUCUCCUUUCCUUUCUCGGACAAUGACUCGUACACGACAUUAGCUACGUAAUUAAAUAAUUAAAAAUCAUUAAUACACAAUUUCAUUAAAAUAUUUCCUUUUAUACCUAAACUUUAUAAUUAUCCCUUACCAAUACUAAUUUUAUUUUUCCCAAUCUAACUCUAUAUUCUCUCUUAAUUCUUACUAUAAAGUCAAUUUAAUUCCUCAAUUUCACCAUAAAUCCCUAAUUUCGGGAUUCUUUCAAUUUAAUCCCUAUCGAUUCAAAACUUAUAUUUUAUUUUACAAUUCAAUCCUUUAUUCAAUUCCAAUCAAAAUUUCUAUCAAAUACAUCCCUAAUUUAACAAUUUAUUCAACAUGAACCAUGCUUAAUAAUCUACUAACUUUCAAAAUUUCAACUUAAAUCAAGUAGUAUUUUAUUCUAGGAUUUCAAAAAAAAAUAUCAAAAUUAAGAGAAAAGGGGAUUAAAUUGACUUACCAAAUUACUUUGAACCUUAAAACCCCAAAUUUCCCUUUUUCUUUUCUUUUCUUUCUUUCUUUCCUUCCUUCCUUCUCUGUUUCGUUUUGCUCUCUGUUUCUUUCUUUCUCCCUUCUCUGUUUUGUUUUGUUUUGCUCUCUGUUUCUUUUCUUUGUCAUAUAUAUAUAUAUAAUAUAAU